RNAcentral lists this ribosomal RNA (234 nucleotides) under uncultured bacterium. Its description in RNAcentral is "partial 16S ribosomal RNA". It matches the Rfam family "Bacterial small subunit ribosomal RNA", at positions 118 to 351 of the family's 1533-position model. The record is from RNAcentral.
UGAGUAACCUGCCCUUAACUUCGGGAUAAGCCUGGGAAACCGGGUCUAAUACCGGAUACAACGGACCACCGCAUGGCGGUCCGUGGAAAGCUUUAUGCGGUUUUGGAUGGACUCGCGGCCUAUCAGCUAGUUGGUUGGGGUAAUGGCCCACCAAGGCGACGACGGGUAGCCGGCCUGAGAGGGUGACCGGCCACACUGGGACUGAGACACGGCCCAGACUCCUACGGGGGGCAG